Molecule: ribosomal RNA, 320 nt
Filed under: Chaetoceros sp. RCC4495
Lineage: Eukaryota; Bacillariophyta; Thalassiosirophyceae; Chaetocerotales; Chaetocerotaceae
Description: SSU rRNA
Rfam family: Eukaryotic small subunit ribosomal RNA
Source: RNAcentral
CUUUCGCCAUCCUUGAGUGGUCCGUUCUGGCAUUAGGUUGUCGGAGCGUCAGCCGCUCAUCGUUUACUGUGAGAAAAUUAGAGUGUUCAAAGCAGGCUUAUGCCGUUGAAUAUAUUAGCAUGGAAUAAUAAGAUAGGACCUCGGUACUAUUUUGUUGGUUUGCGCACCAAGGUAAUGAUGAACAGGGACAGUUGGGGGUAUUUGUAUUUCGUUGUCAGAGGUGAAAUUCUUAGAUUUACGAAAGACAAACUACUGCGAAAGCAUUUACCAAGGAUGUUUUCAUUGAUCAAGAACGAAAGUAUGGGGAUCGAAGAUGAUUA